AAAUUGAAGAGUUUGAUCAUGGCUCAGAUUGAACGCUGGCGGCAGGCCUAACACAUGCAAGUCGAGCGGUAACAGGAAACAGCUUGCUGUUUCGCUGACGAGUGGCGGACGGGUGAGUAAUGUCUGGGAAACUGCC
Molecule: ribosomal RNA, 136 nt
Filed under: Escherichia coli
Lineage: Bacteria; Pseudomonadati; Pseudomonadota; Gammaproteobacteria; Enterobacterales; Enterobacteriaceae
Description: partial 16S ribosomal RNA
Rfam family: Bacterial small subunit ribosomal RNA
Source: RNAcentral